This 510-nucleotide ribosomal RNA is filed under the name uncultured Entrophosporaceae. RNAcentral's name for it is "SSU rRNA". It matches the Rfam family "Eukaryotic small subunit ribosomal RNA", at positions 569 to 1078 of the family's 1831-position model. Lineage: Eukaryota; Fungi; Glomeromycota; Glomeromycetes; Entrophosporales; Entrophosporaceae. The record is from RNAcentral.
AGCAGCCGCGGUAAUUCCAGCCCCAAUAGCGUAUAUUAAAGUUGUUGCAGUUAAAAAGCUCGUAGUUGAAUUUCGGGAUUGACACAUCGGUCGUGCCUUAAGGGGUAUGAACUGGUGUAGUCAAUUUCUCACCUUCUGGAGAACCGCGAUGCCCUUAAUUGGGUGUCACGGGGAACCAGGACCUUUACUUUGAAAAAUUAGAGUGUUUAAAGCAGGCAUUUUGCUUGAAUACAUUAGCAUGGAAUAAUAAAAUAGGACGGCAUGAUUCUAUUUUGUGGUUUUAGGAUCACCGUAAUGAUUAAUAGGGAUAGUUGGGGGCAUUAGUAUUCAAUUGUCAGAGGUGAAAUUCUUGGAUUUAUUGAAGACUAACUACUGCGAAAGCAUUUGCCAAGGAUGUUUUCAUUAAUCAAGAACGAAAGUUAGGGGAUCGAAGACGAUCAGAUACCGUCGUAGUCUUAACCAUAAACUAUGCCGACUAGGGAUCGGAUGAUGUUAAUUUUUAAUGACUCA